GAUGAACGCUGGCGGCGUGCUUAACACAUGCAAGUCGAACGGAAAGGCUCCUGCUUGCCGGGGUACUCGAGUGGCGAACGGGAGAGUAACACGUGGGUGAUCUGCCCUGCACUUCGGGAUACGCAUGGGAAACUGGGUCUAAUACCGGAUAGGACGAUGGUUUGGAUGCCAUUGUGGAAAGCUUUUCGGUGGGGGAUGAGCUCGCGGCCUAUCAGCUUGUUGGUGGGGUAAUGGCCUACCAAGGCGUCGACGGGUAGCCGGCCUGAGAGGGUGUACGGCCACGUUGGGACUGAGAUACGGCCCAGACCCGUACGGGAGGCAGCAGUGGAGAAUAGUGCACAAUGGGCGGGAGCCUGAUGCAGCGACGCCGCGUGGGGGAUGACGGCCUGCGGUUUGUAAACUCCUUUCGCUAGGGACGAAGCGCUAGUGACGGUACCUGGAGAAGAAGCACCGGCUAACUACGUG
Molecule: ribosomal RNA, 465 nt
Filed under: uncultured bacterium
Lineage: Bacteria
Description: partial 16S ribosomal RNA
Rfam family: Bacterial small subunit ribosomal RNA
Source: RNAcentral